GCCGGGGUGGCGGAAUUGGGAGACGCAAGGGACUUAAAAUCCCUCGGACAUUAUUGUCCGUGCCGGUUCGAUCCCGGCCCUCGGCA
RNAcentral lists this transfer RNA (86 nucleotides) under Candidatus Zhuqueibacterota bacterium. RNAcentral's name for it is "candidate division KSB1 bacterium (freshwater sediment metagenome) tRNA-Leu". It matches the Rfam family "tRNA". From Rfam's summary of the family: Transfer RNA (tRNA) molecules are approximately 80 nucleotides in length. Their secondary structure includes four short double-helical elements and three loops (D, anti-codon, and T loops). The record is from RNAcentral. Lineage: Bacteria; Pseudomonadati.